CAGGCGCUCUGCCCCGCCGUGGGGUUUUGGGGGUGCUGUGGAGAAGGCAGGGCUCGGGACUCUUCCACCUCCUUGGCUGCUCUGGCCUUUGAGUUAUGCUCUAAGAUUAUCGAUUACUUUUCCGUUGUUGCUUAUUUCCCACAGCAGCAGAAUGAGAACGGUUAUUAGUUAAUAGCCAUCAGAGACAGACCAAGUGGAACACAGUCCUCGGAAAAACGCCACUCUGUAGCAUUAGUAAUUAAAACCUCACAAGACUUCUCAGUCCUUUAUGUGGAGCUGGGGGCAGGAAGAAUUGCUUCUGGAAGCUGAUGGAGUUGGACAUGUGGCUUUCUAGAAUCUGGAUGUGAUGGUGCAGGAAAAACUCCUGCCCAUUGAGAGGGCUCCGUAAGUGCUUCCCAAAAGAGAAUGAGAAGGAAAAGGAGAUCUCCACAGGAACUGCCUCCUUGGAUCCAGGGCAAAAAUGAACCUCCUAUUGGAGAGAAGUGCCCAGCUUGUCAAGAAGUUGAAUCGGUGCAACCAGCGUUUGUGAAAGCAGCAUUUCCCAUUUCACAUAAAGUCAGCUUCUGGCCAACUGGACAAGUCUGAACAAAUAUGAAACCCACUAAAAGGCCAGUGACAGGUGCACACACUACUGACUCUGGCUAGAGGCUGUGGCAGGAAUUGGACUCAUGUCAUCCAGCGACAGUUCCACCAGCAUCUCUUGUGGCUUCCCAAGGACCAGCCUGAGGCAAACUCCUCAGUGGUGUGAAGACUUUCCAUGUCACUGGAAACCCACCACAGAGUUCUACCAAGUAACCAUGCCUCCACCAGUCCACAACAAACUUUUAAGGCCUCUCCAGUUAUGCCUGCAACCAUCCCACAUUAGCAACCUAAGUAGGCCACCAGUAGAGCUGGUCAAGAGAAAGGAUAGGUUCAAUUAAUUAUUUUUUAAUUAAAAAAAAAUAGAGACAGGGUCUUGUUAUGUUGCCGAGGCUGGUCUUGUACU
This 985-nucleotide long non-coding RNA is filed under the name Homo sapiens (human). RNAcentral's name for it is "HSALNT0335591". Lineage: Eukaryota; Metazoa; Chordata; Mammalia; Primates; Hominidae. The record is from RNAcentral.